CCCUUAGAUGUCCUGGGCCGCACGCGCGCUACACUGGCAUGUUCAACAAGCCUCCUAGUUCGACAGGAUUUGGGAAAUCUUUGAACGCAUGUCGUGAUAGGGAUAGAUCAUUGCAAUUAUUGAUCUUGAACGAGGAAUUCCUAGUAAACGCGAGUCAUCAGCUCGCAUUGAUUACGUCCCUGCCCUUUGUACACACCGCCCGUCGCACCUACCGAUUGAAUGUUUCGGUGAAGAUUCCGGAUAGGACUUUUUUGAUUUAUUUCAAUUUUGUCUUAAAAGCUAUCUAAACCUCAACAUUUAGAGGAAGGUGAAGUCGUAACA
Molecule: ribosomal RNA, 321 nt
Filed under: uncultured eukaryote
Lineage: Eukaryota
Description: partial 18S ribosomal RNA
Rfam family: Eukaryotic small subunit ribosomal RNA
Source: RNAcentral